AGGCGGCCGCGAAUUCACUAGUGAUUAUCGAAUUCCCGCGGCCGCCAUGGCGGCCGGGAGCAUGCGACGUCGCCCAAUUCGCCCUAUAGUGAGUCGUAUGCUUCUCUUGAGAGCGGCGGACGGGUGAGUAAUGCCUAGGAAUCUGCCUGGUAGUGGGGGAUAACGCUCGGAAACGGACGCUAAUACCGCAUACGUCCUACGGGAGAAAGCAGGGGCCCUUCGGGCCUUGCGCUAUCAGAUGAGCCUAGGUCGGAUUAGCUAGUUGGUGAGGUAAUGGCUCACCAAGGCGACGAUCCGUAACUGGUCUGAGAGGAUGAUCAGUCACACUGGAACUGAGACACGGUCCAGACUCCUACGGGAGGCAGCAGUGGGGAAUAUUGGACAAUGGGCGAAAGCCUGAUCCAGCCAUGCCGCGUGUGUGAAGAAGGUCUUCGGAUUGUAAAGCACUUUAAGUUGGGACGAAGAACAUUAACCUAUACAUCAGCGUUGGGACGUUACCGACAGAAUCUCUGUGCCGGCAGCCGCGGUAAUAGGAAUCGAAUUCCCGCGGCCGCCAUGGCGGCCGGGAGCAUGCGAC
This 577-nucleotide ribosomal RNA is filed under the name uncultured Gammaproteobacteria bacterium. RNAcentral's name for it is "bacterial SSU rRNA". The stretch from base 47 to 537 matches the Rfam family "Bacterial small subunit ribosomal RNA", at positions 36 to 538 of the family's 1533-position model. The record is from RNAcentral. Lineage: Bacteria; Pseudomonadati; Pseudomonadota; Gammaproteobacteria.